GAGUUUGAUCGUGGCUCAGAUUGAACGCUGGCGGCAUGCCUUACACAUGCAAGUCGAACGGCAGCACGGGAGCUUGCUCCUGGUGGCGAGUGGCGAACGGGUGAGUAAUGCAUCGGAACGUAUCCUGGAGUGGGGGAUAACGUAGCGAAAGUUACGCUAAUACCGCAUAUUCUGUGAGCAGGAAAGCGGGGGACCUUCGGGCCUCGCGCUCUUGGAGCGGCCGAUGUCGGAUUAGCUAGUUGGUGAGGUAAAGGCUCACCAAGGCGACGAUCCGUAGCAGGUCUGAGAGGAUGAUCUGCCACACUGGAACUGAGACACGGUCCAGACUCCUACGGGAGGCAGCAGUGGGAAUUUUGGACAAUGGGGGCAACCCUGAUCCAGCCAUGCCGCGUGAGUGAAGAAGGCCUUCGGUU
This 413-nucleotide ribosomal RNA is filed under the name bacterium enrichment culture clone ALO1_GLFRUDD03G8SYV. Its description in RNAcentral is "bacterial SSU rRNA". It matches the Rfam family "Bacterial small subunit ribosomal RNA", at positions 9 to 423 of the family's 1533-position model. The record is from RNAcentral.